GAUCAUGGCUCAGGAUGAACGCUAGCUACAGGCUUAACACAUGCAAGUCGAGGGGCAGCAUUUUAGUUUGCUUGCAAACUAAAGAUGGCGACCGGCGCACGUGUGAGUAACACGUAUCCAACCUGCCGAUAACUCUGGGAUAGCCUUUCGAAAGAAAGAUUAAUACCGGAUGGCAUAGUAUUAUCGCAUGAUAAUCCUAUUAAAGAAUUUCGGUUAUCGAUGGGGAUGUGUU
RNAcentral lists this ribosomal RNA (232 nucleotides) under uncultured bacterium. Its description in RNAcentral is "partial 16S ribosomal RNA". It matches the Rfam family "Bacterial small subunit ribosomal RNA", at positions 15 to 237 of the family's 1533-position model. The record is from RNAcentral.